Molecule: ribosomal RNA, 440 nt
Filed under: uncultured bacterium
Lineage: Bacteria
Description: partial 16S ribosomal RNA
Rfam family: Bacterial small subunit ribosomal RNA
Source: RNAcentral
CCUACGGGAGGCAGCAGUAGGGAAUAUUGCACAAUGGGGGAAACCCUGAUGCAGCAACGCCGCGUGAGUGAAGAAGUAAUUCGUUAUGUAAAGCUCUAUCGGCAGAGAAGAAAAUGACGGUACCUAAGGAAUAAGCCCCGGCUAACUACGUGCCAGCAGCCGCGGUAAUACGUAGGGGGCAAGCGUUAUCCGGAUUUACUGGGUGUAAAGGGAGCGUAGACGGCAGUGCAAGUCUGGAGUGAAAGGCGGGGGCUCAACCCCCGGACUGCUCUGGAAACUGUACGGCUGGAGUGCAGGAGAGGUAAGUGGAAUUCCUAGUGUAGGGGUGAAAUGCGUAGAGAUUAGGAGGAACACUAGUGGCGAAGGCGGCCUACUGGAACGUAACUGACGCUGAGGCGCGAAAGCGUGGGGAGCAAACAGGAUUAGAUACCCCAGUAGUC